GAACCGACCCAUGUAUAUACUAAAAAACAAAAUAUUUAAUAUUACAACCCUAAAUGGCGUAAUCGGUAAUCGAAAUCGAAAAUUAGGUCUCACUUUCUCACUUAGCACCGUUCUUAAUAUUGCUCAUCUCCCUUCCCCUGAUCGAAGCUGACGACGCAACACUCCGACGAGCUCAACCCCAUUCCCAAACCGCCGACGCCACCCAUCCAAAGACCAAAGCUACUAGCCUGCUACCGUGCUACGCCUCUGACAGUUCCUUCUCCCGUCUCACUUAUCAAAUUCUCAGGAAACUACCGACUAUUCUAAUCUUCUACACCGGUUCAAUUUAUGAAAUUAUUACACCCUAAUGUUCAAUUUCUUAUUCCGACUGCUAUAAAUUUGUAUAUAAUACACAAUUUGUUAACUCAAAGUUGAUGGUUUGGUUUUGGAUUUGUUUAUGAAUUAUAAUGCUGAAAUAUCGGCGAUUUAUUAUGAAUUCUGUCAUUCUGAUGCUGAAAUAUUGUUCAUGAAUUUGUUUAUGAAAUAUAAUGCUUAAAUAUUGUUCCUGUA
This is a long non-coding RNA of Lactuca sativa (garden lettuce), 549 nucleotides long. RefSeq lists it as uncharacterized. The record is from RefSeq and is a predicted model, not a curated record. NCBI's taxonomy places the organism in Eukaryota, Viridiplantae, Streptophyta, Magnoliopsida, Asterales, Asteraceae.